This is a long non-coding RNA of Oncorhynchus keta (chum salmon), 487 nucleotides long. RefSeq lists it as uncharacterized. The record is from RefSeq and is a predicted model, not a curated record. The transcript has 4 exons. NCBI's taxonomy places the organism in Eukaryota, Metazoa, Chordata, Actinopteri, Salmoniformes, Salmonidae.
UGGAGUUACUAACAGACUAUACAGGUAGUGAGUGGAGUUACUAACAGACUAUACAGCUACAUGUAGUGAGUGGAGUUACUAACAGACUAUACAGGUAGUGAGUGGAGUUACUAACAGACUAUACAGCUACAUGUAGUGAGUGGAGUUACUAACAGACUAUACAGGUAGUGAGUGGAGUUACUAACAGACUAUACAGCUACAUGUAGUGAGUGGAGUUACUAACAGACUAUACAGGUAGUGAGUGGAGUUAAACAGACUAUACAGGUAGUGAGUGGAGUUACUAACAGACUAUACAGGUAGUGAGUGGAGUUACUAACAGACUAUACAGCUACAGGUAGUGAGUGGAGUUACUAACAGACUAUACAGGUAGUGAGUGGAGUUACUAACAGACUAUACAGGUAGUGAGUGGAGUUACUAACAGACUAUACAGCUACAGGUAGUGAGUGGAGUUACUAACAGACUAUACAGGUAGUGAGUGGAGUUAAAC